RNAcentral lists this ribosomal RNA (467 nucleotides) under uncultured bacterium. Its description in RNAcentral is "partial 16S ribosomal RNA". It matches the Rfam family "Bacterial small subunit ribosomal RNA", at positions 29 to 507 of the family's 1533-position model. The record is from RNAcentral.
ACGAACGCUGGCGGCGUGCUUCACACAUGCAAGUCGCACGGAAAGGCCCUGCUUUUGUGGGGUGCUCGAGUGGCGAACGGGUGAGUAACACGUGAGUAACCUGCCCUUGACUUUGGGAUAACUUCAGGAAACUGGGGCUAAUACCGGAUAGGAGCUCCUGCUGCAUGGUGGGGGUUGGAAAGUUUCGGCGGUUGGGGAUGGACUCGCGGCUUAUCAGCUUGUUGGUGGGGUAGUGGCUUACCAAGGCUUUGACGGGUAGCCGGCCUGAGAGGGUGACCGGCCACAUUGGGACUGAGAUACGGCCCAGACUCCUACGGGAGGCAGCAGUGGGGAAUAUUGCACAAUGGGCGGAAGCCUGAUGCAGCAACGCCGCGUGCGGGAUGACGGCCUUCGGGUUGUAAACCGCUUUCGCCUGUGACGAAGCGUGAGUGACGGUAAUGGGUAAAGAGGCACCGGCUAACUACGUG